GGGUGGGGUAGAGGCAGCCACUCCAGUUGCAUUUCUGGCCCCUGGCACCAGACUGAGAACCCUUUGCAACUGAUCAGAACUCACCUCCUGUCAAGGGCUGAAUUCUUUCUUGCCAAGAAGAUGGUAGAAACCUCGACCAUCAUAGUGGUGAUUUCAAAAGAGGCUCUAAGUAUAACAUUUUCUGGACCUGUGGCAUGGCUUAUUGCGGGCUUGGUGGUUGUCGUUGUCAUCGGUGGCAUCACCUAUUAUGUAGUGAAACAGGAGAAGAGGAACCAGAACAAAAUGAAAUGACAUGACUCCUGUCCAGGCACUGGCAGAGGGGCAGGCUGCCUUCACCUGAAUACGUGCAGCAACGCACUGCAUACAUUUCAGAGUUUAUAUGAACAAGAUAAACUUUUCAACAAGAAAAAAUCAUUAAACAUACAAUGAACACUUACUGUGUGCGUGGCCUUUUCUAGAAGUAGGCUGUGAAUUC
Molecule: long non-coding RNA, 475 nt
Organism: Castor canadensis (American beaver)
Lineage: Eukaryota; Metazoa; Chordata; Mammalia; Rodentia; Castoridae
Source: Ensembl